GUCACAGAAUGGCAGAGGAGGAGCAUAAUGCUAAAGAAAAACAUUACACCAUGAUUUUAAUGAAACGUGCAAAACUAGCACAGGAACUGGCAAAACUGGAUGCUCUUCUAAAAUCCCAGCCUGAAAAUACUACUGACAUGAGUUCUCAGCAUGAUAUUCAGGUACCAUUACAACUUGCAGCCUAUAAAAGGGAUAUUCAGAUGUUUGAUGAGUGGGACAGCCACUACCUUCAUCUGAUAGUUCCUUCUUGGAGGAAUUAAGGACCAGCGAAAGAUUGGAAAAAGAGCAGCAGGCAAGAGUUCCUUCUGUAUUUUCCACAUCACCAAUUCAACCUGAAAAUUGCUCUGUUGAAUACUUAAAAAAGAGGCCAUCAAGAAAAACAG
Long non-coding RNA from Archocentrus centrarchus (flier cichlid), 383 nucleotides. RefSeq lists it as uncharacterized. The record is from RefSeq and is a predicted model, not a curated record. NCBI's taxonomy places the organism in Eukaryota, Metazoa, Chordata, Actinopteri, Cichliformes, Cichlidae. The transcript has 4 exons.